Long non-coding RNA from Lotus japonicus, 660 nucleotides. RefSeq lists it as uncharacterized. The record is from RefSeq and is a predicted model, not a curated record. The transcript has 2 exons. NCBI's taxonomy places the organism in Eukaryota, Viridiplantae, Streptophyta, Magnoliopsida, Fabales, Fabaceae.
AACUCAACUCAACAAGGUCAGCCGCUACUCGUCUGCCACCGCCGUCGCUCUCUCGCUGUCCACUGUUCUUCAAUUUCAGAGUCGUACUGCUCCACCCUGAAUUCCUCCGCUGCUCUCUCAGUGCCGCUGCCGCCACUCAGCCACUUCCCCCGUCCACUGCUGGGAGAUUGCAGACUACUACUACCUUUGGCAAAAGGAAGGAAGAUGAAGACAAUUUAUGGAGAAUGUCAUUCAUUUAAAGAAGUACCACUUUCAAAAUCGAAAAAAAUUCUCUCGAAGUUUGCCUCGGCUGACAAUGGUGCUUCAGAAGUUGUCAGUGCAUAUCUUCACCGUGCUUCUUCAUCUUUCAUUGAGCUGGAGAAUCACCAUAAGGAGCUUAAGUCAAAGAAGAGGCGCAAAAGGCAAACAGAGAUGGUUGUAGAUGGUGGGAGAGUCAUUGGAUUUGGAAGACAGCCAUUUGGUAAUCAGAAAUCAGAAUGAUGAUGUGGAUGAUGAAAAAUCAACUCAGUUCUAUGAAAAAGUGAGUCAGAACAAUAUUGAGUGUGAAAAUAGACUAGUUGGUCCUCAGAACAUUAGAGUGAUCCUUAAUCUUGGUUGUUUUUAAAAUUCACUUACUAGAUUUUAAAGUUAAUUCUUUGUAUAAUUGAUGAGAAAUUUAUA